This 440-nucleotide ribosomal RNA is filed under the name uncultured bacterium. Its description in RNAcentral is "partial 16S ribosomal RNA". It matches the Rfam family "Bacterial small subunit ribosomal RNA", at positions 338 to 795 of the family's 1533-position model. The record is from RNAcentral.
CCUACGGGAGGCAGCAGUGAGGAAUAUUGCACAAUGGGCGCAAGCCUGAUCCAGCCACGCCGCGUGAGCGAAGAAGUAUUUCGGUAUGUUAAGCUCUUUCAGCAAGGGAGUAAAUGCCGGUACCUGUCUAAGAAGCUCUGUCUAAAUACGUGCCAGCAGCCGCGGUAAUACGUCUGGCGCCAGCGUUAUACGGAAUUACUGGGUGUAAAGGGGGCGGAGACGGAUGUGCAAGUCUGAUGUGAAAGGCGGGGGCUCAACCCCUGGACUGCAGUGGAAACUGUAAAUCUUGAGUGCCGGCGAGGUAAGCGGAAUGCGUAGUGGAGCGGUGAAAUGCGUAGAGAUGAGGAGGAACACCGGUUGCGAAGGCGGCUUGCUGGACGGUAACUGACGCUGAGGCUCGAAAGCGUGGGGAGCAAACAGGAUUAGAUACCCGGGUAGUC